RNAcentral lists this ribosomal RNA (498 nucleotides) under uncultured bacterium. RNAcentral's name for it is "partial 16S ribosomal RNA". It matches the Rfam family "Bacterial small subunit ribosomal RNA", at positions 30 to 523 of the family's 1533-position model. The record is from RNAcentral.
AUUGAACGCUGGCGGCAUGCCUUGCACAUGCAAGUCGAACGGCAGCACGGGGCAACCUGGUGGCGAGUGGCGAACGGGUGAGUAAUAUAUCGGAACGUACCUUUCAGUGGGGGAUAACGUAGCGAAAGUUACGCUAAUACCGCAUAUUCUGUGAGCAAGAAAGCAGGGGAUCGCAAGACCUUGCGCUGAUUGAGCGGCCGAUAUCAGAUUAGCUAGUUGGUGGGGUAAAGGCCUACCAAGGCGACGAUCUGUAGCGGGUCUGAGAGGAUGAUCCGCCACACUGGGACUGAGACACGGCCCAGACUCCUACGGGAGGCAGCAGUGGGGAAUUUUGGACAAUGGGGGCAACCCUGAUCCAGCCAUGCCGCGUGAGUGAAGAAGGCCUUCGGGUUGUAAAGCUCUUUCGGCCGGGAAGAAAUCGCAUAGGUUAAUACCCUGUGUGGAUGACGGUACCGGAAUAAGAAGCACCGGCUAACUACGUGCCAGCCGCCGCUGUAA